GAUGAACGCUGGCGGCGUGCCUAAUACAUGCAAGUCGAGCGAACAGACGAGGAGCUUGCUCCUCUGACGUUAGCGGCGGACGGGUGAGUAACACGUGGAUACCCUACCUAUAAGACUGGGAUAACUUCGGGAAACCGGAGCUAAUACCGGAUAAUAUAUUGAACCGCAUGGUUCAAUAGUGAAAGACGGUUUUGCUGUCACUUAUAGAUGGAUCUGCGCCGCAUUAGCUAGUUGGUAAGGUAACGGCUUACCAAGGCAACGAUGCGUAGCCGACCUGAGAGGGUGGUCGGCCACACUGGAACUGAGACACGGUCCAGACUCCUACGGGAGGCAGCAGUAGGGAAUCUGCCGCAAUGGGCGAAAGCCUGACGGAGCAACGCCGCGUGAGUGAUGAAGGUCUUCGGAUCGUAAAACUCUGUUAUUAGGGAAGAACAAAUGUGUAAGUAACUAUGCACGUCUUGACGGUACCUAAUCAGAAAGCCACGGCUAACUACGUG
Molecule: ribosomal RNA, 497 nt
Filed under: uncultured bacterium
Lineage: Bacteria
Description: partial 16S ribosomal RNA
Rfam family: Bacterial small subunit ribosomal RNA
Source: RNAcentral